UUGGAGCAGUGAGUAUGUGCCGGGCACUGCCCUCAAGUCAUCUGCCAAUAGCAAGAGCUUCUCGGGUGUGGGCAGGGGACUAUGCCUUGCCGUUGCUAGGUGAGGAGGACACAGCUCCACCCCCUGUGCCCCUGCAGCUUCCUAGAGACAGACAGCACCGUCUCCACCUGUGAUGAUGAGGAUGAAGCUGGGGAUUGGAGCUGGGAAACCACAGGCCUUACACAACUGACUUCUGCGUCCAGUGGCCACCAAUGUCCACCAGUGACAACGUGCCCUUGCAGAAGUCCUUCCUCGGGCAAAGGAGAUGGGAGUAAUUCUCCACUUUCCGGAAUACCCACAGCAUUGUGAGCACUGGCUGCAUUUUGCUGACCAUCGCAGGACCCAAGGAGCUGGAGGAGUCAGAAGUGCUCAGUUAGAGCCCUAAUACACAUCUGUGGUUCCAGCCCAUCACUGGAGGAAGAUUCCUACACUGUCAGUCCUCACGGUCCUAGGAAGCUAAUCACACCCCUUACAGUAAGGUUACACAACCACGUAGCUUAAUCAGCGAGCAUCAUGCUGGCUGCCUGGGGUUGUGCAAAGGACCUCGUCCUGGCCACUGAAGGUCAGUCCCGAGGCCUCUCCCUGGAUUGGAAGUGACUGGAUAUGGCAUUCCGGCCCAGAGAAAGCUGACGCCUCUAGUGGCCACACUUAUGAUUGCACUUGGAGUACAGUAAGUUCAAUAAAUGCUUCUUGAAAGGUGUAAUAGCCAAGCCAGGAGAGGGCUGGGGGCCGAUGCCUGGGACAUUUCUCAGCAGCUGGAUACAGCUCUUCUUGAACCCAAGGUCAUUCCAGUACUUUUCUCUCGUGAGAAACAAUAAAAAUCUCUCAUUUGUUUAAACUA
This is a long non-coding RNA of Cavia porcellus (domestic guinea pig), 880 nucleotides long. RefSeq lists it as uncharacterized. The record is from RefSeq and is a predicted model, not a curated record. Lineage: Eukaryota; Metazoa; Chordata; Mammalia; Rodentia; Caviidae. The transcript has 2 exons.